Molecule: ribosomal RNA, 450 nt
Filed under: uncultured bacterium
Lineage: Bacteria
Description: partial 16S ribosomal RNA
Rfam family: Bacterial small subunit ribosomal RNA
Source: RNAcentral
GUGGGGAAUUUUGGACAAUGGGCGCAAGCCUGAUCCAGCAAUGCCGCGUGCAGGAAGAAGGCCUUCGGGUUGUAAACUGCUUUUGUACGGAACGAAACGGUCCUGGUUAAUACCCGGGGCUAAUGACGGUACCGUAAGAAUAAGCACCGGCUAACUACGUGCCAGCAGCCGCGGUAAUACGUAGGGUGCAAGCGUUAAUCGGAAUUACUGGGCGUAAAGCGUGCGCAGGCGGUGCUGUAAGACAGGCGUGAAAUCCCCGGGCUUAACCUGGGAAUGGCGCUUGUGACUGCAGUGCUGGAGUGCGGCAGAGGGGGAUGGAAUUCCGCGUGUAGCAGUGAAAUGCGUAGAUAUGCGGAGGAACACCGAUGGCGAAGGCAAUCUCCUGGGCCUGUACUGACGCGAAUGCACGAAAGCGUGGGGAGCAAACACGAGUAGAUACCCUAGUAGUCC